UGACAUGUAGCCAGUGGAGGAAGAUGU
Molecule: non-coding RNA, 27 nt
Filed under: Homo sapiens (human)
Lineage: Eukaryota; Metazoa; Chordata; Mammalia; Primates; Hominidae
Source: RNAcentral